AAGCUUUUAUUAGGUAGUUGACACUUGACAGUGAAAACAAAGGAGGGGUAAGAGACAUAAUAUUUCAGUCUUCAAAAUUUAAUUUAUUGUUAAAUAUAAAAAUAUUUAAACACCGUCUUCUAACAGCUUAAAUUUUUAGAGUACAACGGUUAUUUCACAUGAUAUCAGAGCAGGAGGUCCUGAGUUCAAGUCACAUCAGGCUCCUAGCAUAUUAAUUUCCUUACAUUUAAUUCAAGCCCACAUCAUGGACCAAUAAAAAAAUCUCGAGUCCAGAUAUGAAGGAGAGUGUUAAUAUAAAAAUAUUUAAACACCACUUAAGCUUUUAGAGUACAACGGUUGUUUCACAUUUAUAGUAAUUUUUUAUUCGAAUUAUGAGGUGUGUGAUACUUAAUUUAAUUAUUUAAUUUUAAUUUGUUGUAAUUUUCGGCUCGAACUAUAAGGUAUGCGACAUUUAGUUCUCGAAUUUUCUGAAUUGUUGUAAUAAAGUUUUACCGUCUUUUUUUUUGAAUAAAUAUUGAUUAAUUAUUCAGAGUCCAACUAUGGUAUUUUUAAAAGCACAAAAUACUUUGUAUUUGUAAGUUUUCUGCCGUUAGAUAUUCCUUUUGACCAUUCUUAUUCGUCAGAUCAUAUUAUUUAACCAACCAUCCAUUCAACCCUAAAAGAUCACUAUCAUUCUAAUAACACAUUUUUUAAUCCAAGGGCCGAAAAUCUAAAAGUACCAAUGACUUAGUACUUUUAAAAGUAUAAGAGCUUAAUUCUAAUUAUCCAUAUCGAAUUAUAUAGUAUUUUAAUUAUUAUUGCAUCAUUAAGUAGGAUAUUGCUACAAUUUAGAAAGCUUGGAGAUUAAAAUGUCAUAUAUUUUAUUGUUUAAGU
Molecule: long non-coding RNA, 873 nt
Filed under: Ananas comosus (pineapple)
Lineage: Eukaryota; Viridiplantae; Streptophyta; Magnoliopsida; Poales; Bromeliaceae
Description: long non-coding RNA (ACOM_LNC021865)
Source: RNAcentral